AUUUUAGAGACAAUUUAGUUGCAUAUAAGAGCCGUUUGGUUGAAUAUAAUUAAAAAUACAGAGUAAUUAAAGAUAGAUGUAAUUGAAAAUAUAGCAGUUACAAUUAUAUGUAUAUUAUUUUGUUAGAUGUAGUAGAAAAUACUGCAAGUAAGUUUAGAAAGAACUUUUGCAUAUGUAAGAAUAUAUUUGAAAAUUUAUAGAGAAAUUCUAUUUAUACACCCCAAAGCGGUAUAGAUCUUACAUUCUAUAUUCUAAAAUGUACAAAGAUACAAAUAAAUUUUGGUAAAUAAAAAAUUGAUGCGAUAAAUUAAAAAUUAAUGAUCCUUUAAUAGAGUGGGUGUAAAAUAUAUAUCCAACUUUGGAAUGUAUCAGUAGUAUUGUUUAAUUUUAUAUAGGGUUAAUUGCAUACAAUUUCCUGUAAAUAUUUCGAAUACCAGAUAUAUGUCUACAAAGUUUAAUUUUUUAUAUUUAUUUCUGCGAAAGUUCUUAUAUUUUCAAAUAUACCCAUGCUGUUAGUAUUCGUUAGAAAAAUAUAAUUAACUAUAGAUAAAAUAGUUAAUCCUGAUUAAUGAAUAAGGUAAAUUGAUAUGUUUAACCCACUUAUAUUAUCUACAAUAGUAGAAAUAAAGAAUUUUUUAGAGGAUAUUUCUAUAUAAAUCUAACCAUUGGAACUUUUUGAGGAAUAUAUAUUUGUGAUAACAAAAAUAUUAUUUGACUUAUUUUUUAUUAAAAAAAUAAAUAGUAAUUUAACGGUAGCAAACAGAGAAACAAAAUAUGAAUAUCACUUAAUUAUUGUAGGAAUAAACAUGAAAAAUUAAACUUUGUAGAAAUAUAUUUGCUAUUCGGUAUAUUUAUAGGGAGCUGUAUGAAAUUAACCCAUUUAGAUAAUAGCGAGGAAUAAAAAGCGAAAGGAUUUUUUUUUUUUUUUUUUUAAUGACGCUUUCUGAGACGUUGGUGUGAAAGAACUGUUCUUCUUCUUGAGCCCAAAAAAAUAAAUAAAAAAAAUAAGGAUUAAAUGCAUACAUGUACCUACAAAUAUAAUAAAUUAUAAAUAGAUUCUACAAAGUUUAUUUUUUAUAUGUUGUUUCUGUAAAAGUUUUAAUAUUUUCAAAUGUAUUCCUCUGGUUUGUGGCCGUUAUAGAACUGUUUAUAUUUUAAGUGAAAUAUCAUUUUUUCUAUCACAAAUAUACCCCUCCAAAAACCAUGACGGAAUAAUAUAAAAGAAACAAAAAUAUCGAGUUAUCUCAUAAAUUAACAAGGGUUAAGUAUUUAAACUAUAGUUAACUAAAGUUUUCUAAUAGAUUCUAAUGGCAGGAAUAUUUUUUAAAAUAUUAGGACUUUUGUAGGGACAAUAUAUAAAAGUUAAAUUUUGUAGAAAUAUAUUUGUAAUUUACUAUGUUUAUAGUAACCUGUAUGAAAUUAAUCCAAAAAACAAAAGCAAAAAAACAAAACGUAGAAAAAAGAAAUGAAAGCAAAACUUUCCGUUUUAGCGGAAGUCUACAACGUCACAUUUGCACCACAUUAUCAGUCACCGAUUAAUCAUAUUUUUUUUUUGAAAGAAAAAAAUAUAAUAAAAAUAUAUUUUUAAUUAAUUAUAAUGGGACAGAUGAAUCCAAAAGAGACAAUUGGACUUAAUGGGAUGUCACAUUAGCAAUAUAACUUAAGCAGUGCUAUACUUUUUCCUGAUUUAAUCGCUUCUCGGGAUCGAUGACAAAAAAAAAAAAAUCAUGUUCUAUUUUUUUUUUCAUGAAACACCUGACCUUUUUUUAUUACUCAUAUUUAGUGCUUACUAAUAUUAGCUAAAACAUCAAUUUUUUAUAGCUUUUUUUUGGAUUAAUUUCAUACAGUUCCAUGCAAAGAUACAUAUAUAUUUCUACAAAACUUAAGUUAUUAAAUUUAUUCCAUUAAAAUUCUCUUGUUUGCAAAUAUAUCUCUCCAAACGUUUUGAUUCGUUCAUUUAUGUCCUUGCUAUUAGAUUCAUCAUUAAUUUUUUUACAGUAAGUGUAUAAAAUGACUAUUUUGUCUUUAUAAAUUUCUUUCUGCAAAAAGCUAUUUUUUUUCUCUUUCUCUCUCCUCGCCUUCACUGCAAUACGUGCGGCGUACCUCAUUUUUGUCGUAACCGAGGACCUCGUCUUUGAGGCCACCGCCGUCGUAGGUCUCACUAUCACUAUAAAUAAAGAGGAGAAUGUGAGAAAGAUGACGAGACUCAAUAUUAGAACACAAAUU
Molecule: long non-coding RNA, 2226 nt
Filed under: Ananas comosus (pineapple)
Lineage: Eukaryota; Viridiplantae; Streptophyta; Magnoliopsida; Poales; Bromeliaceae
Description: long non-coding RNA (ACOM_LNC009721)
Source: RNAcentral